Molecule: long non-coding RNA, 465 nt
Organism: Acipenser ruthenus (sterlet)
Lineage: Eukaryota; Metazoa; Chordata; Actinopteri; Acipenseriformes; Acipenseridae
Exons: 3
Source: RefSeq, a predicted model, not a curated record
GCCACUUUAGUAUGAUUUACCACCUCUCUCCCACUCACAAUCACCAAUACACUACUCUAAAUGUUGAGUCUGGAUUCUGAGCACGACUAUACGAUCAGAGUUUGACUGAGGACAAGGAGUAUUCUCUGGCUCAGACAGGAAGGCCCUAAGGCAGUGCAGAGCUUUGAUCGCCAUCUGCUGAAUGCCAGUGUCUGCAUCUGUGUCACUAAGAUGUGUGUUAGCUGAAGAAGUGUCUCAACUUAGACAGAACCUUGGAAGCAACUGACCUUCCCACCACACUAUCACUGUCAAAGCAGUUUGAAGUUUCGUCACUGUGGAACUCCUUGUCACCAACUUAAACUGCCGAUUAGUUGAUCCAUACAAAGAUGUGGGGCAAAGUACAGGCACCGCUAGCUCAGUUGAGUUUGGAAGUCCAGUCAGCUGCUUAAGAGCCAACUGGCUACCUUACUGUGGACCUUGAUUCAG